The sequence is a small nuclear RNA, 124 nucleotides long. Its record names the gene U2. It matches the Rfam family "U2 spliceosomal RNA". From Rfam's summary of the family: U2 is a small nuclear RNA (snRNA) component of the spliceosome (involved in pre-mRNA splicing). Complementary binding between U2 snRNA (in an area lying towards the 5' end but 3' to hairpin I) and the branchpoint sequence (BPS) of the intron results the bulging out of an unpaired adenosine, on the BPS, which initiates a nucleophilic attack at the intronic 5' splice site, thus starting the first of two transesterification reactions that mediate splicing. The record is from Ensembl.
AUCGCUUCUUGGCCUUUUGGCUAAGAUCAAGUGUGGUAUCUGUUCUUACCAGUUUAAUAAGAGCUGAAAUAGUAACUGAAUUUUUUGUUUUUGUUUUUUUUAGAGAGAGAGUGAGAGAACGCAC